This 482-nucleotide ribosomal RNA is filed under the name uncultured bacterium. RNAcentral's name for it is "bacterial SSU rRNA". It matches the Rfam family "Bacterial small subunit ribosomal RNA", at positions 30 to 507 of the family's 1533-position model. The record is from RNAcentral.
AUUGAACGCUGGCGGCAUGCCUUACACAUGCAAGUCGAACGGUAACGCGGAGCAAUCUGGCGACGAGUGGUGAACGGGUGAGUAAUAUAUCGGAACAUACCCUAGAGUGGGGGAUAACGUAGCGAAAGUUACGCUAAUACCGCAUACGAUCUGAGGAUGAAAGUGGGGGAUCGCAAGACCUCAUGCUCAUGGAGUGGCCGAUAUCUGAUUAGCUAGUUGGUAGGGUAAAAGCCUACCAAGGCGACGAUCAGUAGCUGGUUUGAGAGAACGACCAGCCACACUGGAACUGAGACACGGUCCAGACUCCUACGGGAGGCAGCAGUGGGGAAUUUUGGACAAUGGGGGCAACCCUGAUCCAGCAAUGCCGCGUGAGUGAAGAAGGCCUUCGGGUUGUAAAGCUCUUUUGUCAGGGAAGAAAAGGUAGCCUCUAAUACAGGCUGCUCAUGACGGUACCUGAAGAAUAAGCACCGGCUAACUACGUG